UUGAGAAAGAAAUGAGGGAAUUUGGCAUCAACGGCAGAAAUCUUCAUUUGAAAUUUGCGACCUUUUACUUCAUUUUUGUACUUCAUAUUUACAAAACUCUGUUUCAUCAAACUUUAUUCUCAUCUCAACUCAUUCUCAUCUCAAUUGGUCUUAUUCUCUUCUCAAUUCUGCUUGUAAUGAUGAUGAACUCUAUCAACACUGUCAUGCAGGAUGGAGUUCUUCGACUCUAGUUGCCCUUUCUUCUGCAGAUUUUUCCUUUGGUGGCCAUAGUUCAACGUUUGAGACAGGAGAGUCAAGUAGCGUGACUGUUUCUACUGCUGUGGUUGUUGAAGUAGGCCCUUCUUCAACGUUUGAUGUAGGUAGGAGGAUCUAGCUGUGGAGUGGUUCCUUCUAACUUGGGUAUUGCUAAUGGAGGGCCAUUCUUCAGCAUACAUGCUCUUGAUUUGGUAAAGAUUUGUAAUAUUUUUUUUGUUUUGUCAUGUAAUAGUCAUAAUUUAUCAUUGUAUUUCCAUCAUGCUUCCUUUUUUUUAGAACCUUCUCUGCCAAGAAUUUAAGGGUUUGCUAAAUUUCUCACUUGAGGAGUUUCAUGCACCCUUCAAGAUUCACUAAACUUGAGCAUUUGUUGGGGAUUGUCUUCUAAUUAGCGUUGAUAGGGCGGGAAGCCGUUAGGUUGAACACUGUUUGGAAUGGGCAAGAGAUGCAGAGAAAGCCCUAUUUUUAAUGAAAAAUAUUUUUAAUGAAAAAUAUCCCAGAUGUGUUGUAAUAAUUUUCUUAUAUGUUAUUUCUUGAAUAUUUUAUUGACAAAUUACUUUGGGUUUGCCUCUUUUCAGUUCAUCAUGAUCUUUGACCGUCCUUUACAAAUAUACAAUUUGGCUAAGGUUAUGUCACAUUACAUUCCUCUCUUGAGGUGUAACCAAUUUGGAUAUCAUGAUGUAUUGAAGCUUUUGGAUAAGGCUUCACAAAGAUGUGAUGAUCAACGCAAUUUGAGGAUCAUUAUGAGGGAGAUUGUCUUACAUGUUCAACCCUUGGCUUUUCAUCAUGUUGAUAACUACGUUGUUCAGGUUUAAGAAAAGUGAGUUGAAAAGUUAGUAGAAUGUAGGCCCCACAUUUAUAUAUUAGUUUUAUAAUAGAAUGUGAGUGUAAUGAGUUAGUGAAAAGUGAGUCUAUUUACCAAAAGUGGAAAAAGAGCAAAGUGGACAACAUUUCACGAACGGACCGAAAUGGCAAAACUGGACAACAUUUCACGGACGGAGGGAGUAACAGGUUGUCAUUCGUCUUGGGGAUAUUAGAGUUUAUGCAAGUGUAAUUGGAUAAUUGAUGGAUCAAAACACACUCUUGGUUCAUAUAUGUGGACAAUUUGCACAUCAUAUGUACCAUUGCUUGAUGGUUUCAUGCCAUGAAUCCAAUUUGCUUGACGUAAUGCAUCAACUCCAUGUCUUCUUAGAUGUGCAUGAGGUGUACUUGAGGCAAAGUUAGUUGGGGCUAGAAGUUGUUCGUUAUGUUCGUCGUCUUAUCAAUGUUGGAUUGAUUAAUGAAAAGUACAUUUUCUAUCUGAAGAUGAAGAAUGGUUUACCUUGGCGCUAGAUUUCAAAAUUGUUUGCCUAAAAUUAAUCAAUCCAAAACUGUAAACCUCAGGCCGCUGGAACCGCCACUUUCGGCUGAGGAUGGAAGGAGGUGAUCGGCGCAUAGUGUGAGAAUUGAGAAUUGGGAGAGAAUUAAUUUAUAGGUUUGAAAUGAACCGUUGAUGUCUAAUUCAAAUUUACGCGCAAUUUUUAUACUGUCAUCUAUUGAUAUUAUUUUAUUCCAUU
Molecule: long non-coding RNA, 1808 nt
Organism: Salvia splendens (bonfire salvia)
Lineage: Eukaryota; Viridiplantae; Streptophyta; Magnoliopsida; Lamiales; Lamiaceae
Exons: 7
Source: RefSeq, a predicted model, not a curated record